RNAcentral lists this ribosomal RNA (310 nucleotides) under Termitomyces sp. symbiont of Macrotermes bellicosus. Its description in RNAcentral is "partial 12S ribosomal RNA". It matches the Rfam family "Bacterial small subunit ribosomal RNA", at positions 557 to 807 of the family's 1533-position model. The record is from RNAcentral. Lineage: Eukaryota; Fungi; Basidiomycota; Agaricomycetes; Agaricales; Lyophyllaceae.
UCCUAAUCAGGCGUAAAGGGUGUGUAGGCUGCUUUCAAAAUCAUAUCUUUCAAAUAGCUAUUAUAACGAAGCUCUGUUUAAAUACAAUAUAUACCACUUUAAAUAUCUUCAAUAUAAGGUAAGAUCUGAUGAAUAAAAGCUAGAAUCAAAACGAGGAUAAUACAAAGAAUACUUAGAGUAGGGUCGAUAUCCUAAGAUACUAAGUGGAAUACUAAAGGUGAAAACUAUUUAUCUAGAAAUGAUUGACGCUGAGAAACGAAGGUGAGAAUAGGAAAUAGGAUUAGAUACCCAGAUACCUCUCACUGUUAAC